RNAcentral lists this ribosomal RNA (305 nucleotides) under uncultured bacterium. Its description in RNAcentral is "bacterial SSU rRNA". It matches the Rfam family "Bacterial small subunit ribosomal RNA", at positions 334 to 636 of the family's 1533-position model. The record is from RNAcentral.
UUGCCCUACGGGGCGCAGCAGUGAGGAAUAUUGGUCAAUGGGAGAGAUCCUGAACCAGCCAAGCCGCGUGAGGGAUGACGGCCCUACGGGUUGUAAACCUCUUUUGUCGGGGAGCAAGACCCGCCUCGUGCAGGCGGAGCGAGAGUACCCGAAGAAAAAGCAUCGGCUAACUCCGUGCCAGCAGCCGCGGUAAUACGGAGGAUGCGAGCGUUAUCCGGAUUUAUUGGGUUUAAAGGGUGCGCAGGCGGACCAUCAAGUCAGCGGUAAAAUCGUGGGGCCCAACCCCAUCCCGCCGUUGAAACUGG